Molecule: transfer RNA, 69 nt
Filed under: Marmota monax (woodchuck)
Lineage: Eukaryota; Metazoa; Chordata; Mammalia; Rodentia; Sciuridae
Description: tRNA.Ala
Source: RNAcentral
GGAGUUGUGGCUCAGUGAUAGGGUGCUUGCCUAGCAUGUACGAGGUACUGGGUUCAAUGCUCAGCACCG